RNAcentral lists this long non-coding RNA (629 nucleotides) under Homo sapiens (human). RNAcentral's name for it is "HSALNT0364947". Lineage: Eukaryota; Metazoa; Chordata; Mammalia; Primates; Hominidae. The record is from RNAcentral.
AGACCUGCGAGUUUGGUGUGUGCAGGAAAUAGACUGUUGGCAGCUCUUCCACGUGCACCUUUGAGACCGUGACUUCCAAAGCUUCAGGGCCAAGGAGGCCCACAGCCAUCACAGGGAUUGGAGGACUCCCAAGUGCAAGAAACUGGGCUCUAAGUCUCUGCCAGGUGGCUAUGGGCGGAGGAGGAUGAGGAGGAAAGAGAUGCCUGCCUGGAUGGUUCUAGCUCACAGAAGUUCUUGCUUCCUCUUGUCCAGAAAGCCAAACCAUGCAUCCUGAGCCCUUCACUUCUUCAACAGAUAUUUCCUGAGAGCCUGCUAUGUGUCCCGCUGUGAGGAUGCAACAGAGCACACUACUGACAAGGUCCCCGCCUUCCAUCCUUGUCUUCUCAUCCAGAUUGCUGACUCCUGGGGCUGGAGGGAAGCAGGCAGCACCUCAGGCUGAUUUCGCGUGAUAGGGAAAUGAAGAGGAGAGGAGGACGACAGGGAGAGAAAGGAGGAAAAACUGCGAAGGAAGAACAAGCCGGAGCUCCGUCUGCCUUUCAGAAAUGACAUCUCUGCGGAAUUCAAUGCGGCCUAUUCUCAAGCAUCGGAGAAACUCUUUUCUUGCCUCCUCCUUCACCCCACCCCAACCA